GGGAAACUGCCUGAUGGAGGGGGAUAACUACUGGAAACGGUAGCUAAUACCGCAUAACGUCGCAAGACCAAAGAGGGGGACCUUCGGGCCUCUUGCCAUCAGAUGUGCCCAGAUGGGAUUAGCUAGUAGGUGGGGUAACGGCUCACCUAGGCGACGAUCCCUAGCUGGUCUGAGAGGAUGACCAGCCACACUGGAACUGAGACACGGUCCAGACUCCUACGGGAGGCAGCAGUGGGGAAUAUUGCACAAUGGGCGCAAGCCUGAUGCAGCCAUGCCGCGUGUAUGAAGAAGGCCUUCGGGUUGUAAAGUACUUUCAGCGGGGAGGAAGGUGUUGUGGUUAAUAACCGCAGCAAUUGACGUUACCCGCAGAAGAAGCACCGGCUAACUCCGUGCCAGCAGCCGCGGUAAUACGGAGGGUGCAAGCGUUAAUCGGAAUUACUGGGCGUAAAGCGCACGCAGGCGGUCUGUCAAGUCGGAUGUGAAAUCCCCGGGCUCAACCUGGGAACUGCAUUCGAAACUGGCAGGCUAGAGUCUUGUAGAGGGGGGUAGAAUUCCAAGU
RNAcentral lists this ribosomal RNA (559 nucleotides) under uncultured bacterium. Its description in RNAcentral is "bacterial SSU rRNA". It matches the Rfam family "Bacterial small subunit ribosomal RNA", at positions 120 to 674 of the family's 1533-position model. The record is from RNAcentral.